RNAcentral lists this unclassified non-coding RNA (211 nucleotides) under Hevea brasiliensis (rubber tree). Lineage: Eukaryota; Viridiplantae; Streptophyta; Magnoliopsida; Malpighiales; Euphorbiaceae. The record is from RNAcentral.
AUGCCCCUGCUACACCAGCCAAGAGUGUUUGUGGAGACAGCUACUUUAGGCCUCAUUCAAACUUCCCUAACUAUAUGGCAAACACACAAUCCUUUAAGGCCAAAUUGAUGUCUCAUAAUGCUCCAAAACAACGACCAGACCAGGGCCAAAAAAGAGGCUUUCGCUCAAUGAAAUAAUGGCAGCAAGGAAUAGCAUAAGCAGUGUUAGAAUG